This 596-nucleotide ribosomal RNA is filed under the name Trichoderma harzianum. RNAcentral's name for it is "eukaryotic LSU rRNA". The stretch from base 235 to 388 matches the Rfam family "5.8S ribosomal RNA". Lineage: Eukaryota; Fungi; Ascomycota; Sordariomycetes; Hypocreales; Hypocreaceae. The record is from RNAcentral.
UUCCGUAGGGUGAACCUGCGGAGGGAUCAUUACCGAGUUUACAACUCCCAAACCCAAUGUGAACGUUACCAAACUGUUGCCUCGGCGGGAUCUCUGCCCCGGGUGCGUCGCAGCCCCGGACCAAGGCGCCCGCCGGAGGACCAACCAAAAACUCUUAUUGUAUACCCCCUCGCGGGUUUUUUUAUAAUCUGAGCCUUCUCGGCGCCUCUCGUAGGCGUUUCGAAAAUGAAUCAAAACUUUCAACAACGGAUAUCUUGGUUCUGGCAUCGAUGAAGAACGCAGCGAAAUGCGAUAAGUAAUGUGAAUUGCAGAAUUCAGUGAAUCAUCGAAUCUUUGAACGCACAUUGCGCCCGCCAGUAUUCUGGCGGGCAUGCCUGUCCGAGCGUCAUUUCAACCCUCGAACCCCUCCGGGGGGUCGGCGUUGGGGAUCGGCCCUGCCUUGGCGGUGGCCGUCUCCGAAAUACAGUGGCGGUCUCGCCGCAGCCUCUCCUGCGCAGUAGUUUGCACACUCGCAUCGGGAGCGCGGCGCGUCCACAGCCGUUAAACACCCAACUUCUGAAAUGUGACCUCGGAUCAGGUAGGAAACACCAUUCCUU